Molecule: ribosomal RNA, 318 nt
Filed under: Pichia fermentans
Lineage: Eukaryota; Fungi; Ascomycota; Pichiomycetes; Pichiales; Pichiaceae
Description: LSU rRNA
Rfam family: Eukaryotic large subunit ribosomal RNA
Source: RNAcentral
UGCCCAGUAGCGGCGAGUGAAGCGGCAAAAGCUCAGAUUUGGAAUCGCUUCGGCGAGUUGUGAAUUGCAGGUUGGCGCCUCUGCGGCGGCGGCGGUCCAAGUCCCUUGGAACAGGGCGCCAUUGAGGGUGAGAGCCCCGUGGGACCGUUUGCCUACGCUCUGAGGCCCUUCUGACGAGUCGAGUUGUUUGGGAAUGCAGCUCUAAGCGGGUGGUAAAUUCCAUCUAAGGCUAAAUACUGGCGAGAGACCGAUAGCGAACAAGUACUGUGAAGGAAAGAUGAAAAGCACUUUGAAAAGAGAGUGAAACAGCACGUGAAA